UACGGAGGGUGCGAGCGUUAAUCGGAAUUACAGGGCGUAAAGCGCACACAGGCGGUUUGUUAAGCUAGAUGUGAAAGCCCCGGGCUCAACCUGGGAUGGUCAUUUAGAACUGGCAGACUAGAGUCUUGGAGAGGGGAGUGGAAUUCCAGGUGUAGCGGUGAAAUGCAUAGAUAUCUGGAGGAACAUCAGUGGCGAAGGCGACUCCCUGGCCAAAGACUGACGCUCAUGUGCGAAAGUGUGGGUAGCGAACAGG
Molecule: ribosomal RNA, 253 nt
Filed under: uncultured bacterium
Lineage: Bacteria
Description: partial 16S ribosomal RNA
Rfam family: Bacterial small subunit ribosomal RNA
Source: RNAcentral